UUCUGUUAUUUCGGAAGUCAUGGAUUUACAGUGCCAAGAGCGCCGGGCGCUCUGAUACCACUGAUGCAAGCUGAGAGUUAGAGAGAAAAUAGAGCUACAGCUAAGAUAUAAUCUAGGGCAAAAGAAAAGGAUUUUUCAUUCAUCAUCUGGAAUGUUCUUUUACAGGACCUAUGAUCUGGUCUGUUUGCGAAUCCAGAAUUUGUUUUCUCAAAGCAAAGGUUACGAAUUUGAGAAUCAAAAGUCUGCCCUAAUUUUCAACCUCUGUUUAUGAGUCCAGGUACGCCUCCUCUCCUGGUUGCUCGUUUUAUUCUUUUUCAACCUCGCUUUCUGAGUUGCUCGUUUGGAAAUCGAUUUAUAGCUUUGCUAUAUUCGACUUCUUCUUCUUCUUGUUCUGUAACAUUAAACCUGUAAAAGAGCGAUACUGAAAUAUGUUGAAGUAUUUUGUUCUGAAAUAUGUUGAAACAAUAAUUUUAGUCGCAAUCAUUAUUUUUGAUGAUAUUGACAAGCAACCCCCACUUCAAACCGAGAGGUUGUGAGUUCAAGUCUCCCCAAGAGCAAUGUGGGAAGUUCUUGGAGGGAAGGAUGCCGAGGGUCUAUUUGGAAANNNNNNNNNNNNNNNNNNNNNNNNNNNNNNNNNNNNNNNNNNNNNNNNNNNNNNNNNNNNNNNNNNUAUUUGGAAACAGCCUCUCUACCCAAGGGUAGGGGUAAGGUUUGCGUACACACUACCCUCCCCAGACCCCACUAAGUGGGAUUAUACUGGGUUAUGGUUGUUGUUGUUUUUAUGUAUACCACUUAACUCACGUGUAGACAAAAUAAGAUAACUAAGGGAGCAUUGGGUAAAUAGCCAAGUGUAUAUAUCAACUCUCAAGGGGCCUUACUGCAAAACCCUUAAACUAAAUACUAACUCAUUAAUAAUAACUAAUAUAACUACCAAUAAUUCCUCUUAAUCUUCAAUUCACAUCAUCUAUCCACUCAGCUGUGUGAGUAUACAGUUAAUGUAUAUUCAAACUUGACGAGGGGAUUCACUCAAACCAAUUAAAAAAACAGACCCCCUCCCCCUCUCUCUCUCUCUCUGUGCAGAAUCGCUCUAUACAAUUCCGCUAAAGCUAACAGUAUAGAGCAAAUAUGGAUCAAUUCUCAAAUCAUUAGUCUAAAGCAGAAUGUUGUACAAAAUGACAUGUGCAGUCUAAGACUAUGCUCCUUUUAAAUUUUUAAUUAAAUACCUGCAACCUAAAACUAGCAUGAAGCAAGGGAUUCUAGUAUCCUCCAACGCGAGCUUCUCUCUUCAGAAAUUGAAAAUAUAAGAAACUUGAAAUACAAUAGUCCACUUAUCAUCGAGAGUUCUUUAAUUAAAGAAGUUCAAACAAACGAAACUUAAUACUACAUAAACAAAACGCAGUUCAUUCUUUAAUCAGUUCUAAGUAGCACGAAUCGAAGAAUAGAAUUGCCAAAAGUUUUACCUUCACACCGAUCUGCAACUCCGUAACAUCACCGGAUUUCUUAGCCGUAACUGGAAAAUAUAAAUCGGAACUUAGACCGCAUUUGACAGUAUUCCUAUUGACUUAAUAUUUGCUUUUUAGCUCAAAAGAAAAGAAAACAAUUUUAGCACGUUGAAUAUCGCAUUAACAGAUCUGAUACAAAAAUCAAUAGCGUGUCGUACAAUCUUCAAAGAGAUUACCUAUGGUAAUAAG
This 1691-nucleotide long non-coding RNA is filed under the name Nicotiana benthamiana. Its description in RNAcentral is "long non-coding RNA (NBEN_LNC036048)". Lineage: Eukaryota; Viridiplantae; Streptophyta; Magnoliopsida; Solanales; Solanaceae. The record is from RNAcentral.